This 440-nucleotide ribosomal RNA is filed under the name uncultured bacterium. RNAcentral's name for it is "partial 16S ribosomal RNA". It matches the Rfam family "Bacterial small subunit ribosomal RNA", at positions 338 to 795 of the family's 1533-position model. The record is from RNAcentral.
CCUACGGGUGGCAGCAGUGGGGAAUAUUGCACAAUGAGGGAAACCUUGAUGCAGCGACGCCGCGUGCAUGAAGAAGUAUUUCGGUAUGUAAAGCUCUAUCAGCAGGGAAGAAAAUGACAGUACCUGACCAAUAAGCCACUGCUAACUACGUGCCAGCAGCCGCUGUAAUACGUAGGGGGCAAGCCUUAUCCGGAUUUAAUGGGUCAAACGGUAGCGGAGACGGGUAUGUAAAUAUGGAAGGAAAGCCCGGGGCCCAAACCCGGGACCGCUUUGGAUACUGUGUAACUGGAGUAAAGGAGGGGCAGGCGGAAUUCCAGGUGUAGCGGUGAAAUGCGUAGAUAUAAGGAGGAACACCGGCGGCGAAGGCAGCCUGCUGGACCGAAACUGACGUUGAGGGUCGAAAGCGUGGGGAGCAAACAGGAUUAGAUACCCCUGUAGUC